CUGUGCGCAUUUACAAACUGCAAUGUAAGGGACUCUCUCUCACCAACCAACCUCCUCCAGAGCCGCGCGAAAUGCACCGGUUGAUGCAAAGUCUCACGUUAGCCUGAGCGUUAAAAUGCCCUGGUGUUCCCGCUCUGUCAAGACCGUCCUUACAUCUUAAUACCCAGGUAAAAAAAGAUUCCUUUUAGGCCAGCGUUGAAAAAAUCUCUGAAAGGAAACUCAAAAAGGCCAAGAGUGUCAGCGCAC
Sinocyclocheilus anshuiensis is the source of this 246-nucleotide long non-coding RNA. RefSeq lists it as uncharacterized. NCBI's taxonomy places the organism in Eukaryota, Metazoa, Chordata, Actinopteri, Cypriniformes, Cyprinidae. The transcript is spliced from 3 exons. The record is from RefSeq and is a predicted model, not a curated record.